CGGCCCGUAGGCCCGCACCGGGUAGGGGAACCCGGCUUCGAGCGCCGGGUCGACCCCGGCGGCCUCCAGCGGGUCGCGGUCCCAGCCGGCGUCCGGCCGG
RNAcentral lists this transfer RNA (100 nucleotides) under Kineosporia sp. NBRC 101677. RNAcentral's name for it is "tRNA-Ser". Lineage: Bacteria; Bacillati; Actinomycetota; Actinomycetes; Kineosporiales; Kineosporiaceae. The record is from RNAcentral.